AGUGAACGCUGGCGGUAGGCCUAACACAUGCAAGUCGAACGGCAGCACAGUAAGAUCUUGCUCUUACGGGUGGCGAGUGGCGGACGGGUGAGGAAUACAUCGGAAUCUACUUUUUCGUGGGGGAUAACGUAGGGAAACUUACGCUAAUACCGCAUACGACCUACGGGUGAAAUCAGGGGAUCUUCGGACCUUGCGCGAUUGAAUGAGCCGAUGUCGGAUUAGCUAGUUGGCGGGGUAAAGGCCCACCAAGGCGACGAUCCGUAGCUGGUCUGAGAGGAUGAUCAGACACACUGGAACUGAGACACGGUCCAGACUCCUACGGGAGGCAGCAGUGGGGAAUAUUGGACAAUGGGCGCAAGCCUGAUCCAGCAAUACCGCGUGGGUGAAGAAGGCCUUCGGGUUGUAAAGCCCUUUUGUUGGGAAAGAAAAGCAGCAGGUUAAUACCCAGCUGUUCUGACGGUACCCAAAGAAUAAGCACCGGCUAACUUCGUG
This 492-nucleotide ribosomal RNA is filed under the name uncultured bacterium. Its description in RNAcentral is "partial 16S ribosomal RNA". It matches the Rfam family "Bacterial small subunit ribosomal RNA", at positions 29 to 507 of the family's 1533-position model. The record is from RNAcentral.